RNAcentral lists this ribosomal RNA (253 nucleotides) under uncultured bacterium. RNAcentral's name for it is "partial 16S ribosomal RNA". It matches the Rfam family "Bacterial small subunit ribosomal RNA", at positions 524 to 776 of the family's 1533-position model. The record is from RNAcentral.
UACAGAGGGUGCGAGCGUUAAUCGGAGUUACUGGGCGUAAAGGGCGCGUAGGCGGUUUAUUAAGUGAGAUGUGAAAUCCCUGGGCUUAACCUAGGAACUGCAUCUCAUACUGGUAGGCUAGAGUAUUGUAGAGGGUAGUGGAAUUUCCGGUGUAGCGGUGAAAUGCGUAGAGAUCGGAAAGAACACCAACGGCGAAAGCACUCUGCUGGGCCGACACUGACACUGAGAGACGAAAGCUAGGGGAGCGAAUGGG